GGAAUCUUCCACAAUGGGCGCAAGCCUGAUGGAGCAACGCCGCGUGAGUGAAGAAGGUCUUCGGAUCGUAAAACUCUGUUGUUAGAGAAGAACAUGCAGGAGAGUAACUGUUCUUGUAUUGACGGUAUCUAACCAGAAAGCCACAGCUAACUACUUGCCAG
RNAcentral lists this ribosomal RNA (161 nucleotides) under uncultured bacterium. Its description in RNAcentral is "partial 16S rRNA". It matches the Rfam family "Bacterial small subunit ribosomal RNA", at positions 358 to 511 of the family's 1533-position model. The record is from RNAcentral.